This 111-nucleotide ribosomal RNA is filed under the name Escherichia coli. The record is from RNAcentral. Lineage: Bacteria; Pseudomonadati; Pseudomonadota; Gammaproteobacteria; Enterobacterales; Enterobacteriaceae.
UGGCGGCAGUAGCGCGGUGGUCCCACCUGACCCCAUGCCGAACUCAGAAGUGAAACGCCGUAGCGCCGAUGGUAGUGUGGGGUUUCCCCAUGCGAGAGUAGGGAACUGCCA